ACCUUCGGGCAGCCGGCACCAGUAAACGCAGCAGCGGCGGCAGCAGCAGUUAACGCUGAUGCAACUAUUGCUGCUGUUGCUACCGCCUUCCCACUAACGGGGCUUGCAGCCCGGGGGGACUGGCCGCUUCCAGGGGCAACAAGCAUCUCUCUACCACCCUCCCCUGCGCCCCAGAGAGAGGCUGGUACUGUGAGGCUGGAGCCACCUUCUGUUGGAAGCUGCUACAAUCUUGUGGGAUCAAAGGAGCGUGUCUGAGUUCUGGCUCUAGUGGCUCAUUGAGAGCACGAAGGACCAACAGAUCCUUCAUCUGUCAGGAAGUACCUGGGGAGUCCUGAGAUCUGUUGAGACGGGAAAGUACAGAGCCACAGGCUUAAGACAGUUCAAUAAGCCGGGGCAGAGAUGAUGUUCCAUUAUAAAUAUAAAAAGGAAAGCCAAAGGUAUGGGGGCCAGAAGAAAAGGCCGCUCACUUCUACAUGUAGAGAGGGAAGUGCAUCCAAGAAGAUGUGGAAAAUUUGGGAGAAGGGGAAGGAAAAAAUGAACGAUAAUUUUGUUACCUUAAGCCCUAUCAAGUAUGACUUAUAUUAUUCUCAUGUGAAAGAUGAGGAAACAGGGCCCAGUGAGUGAAGUUACUUAACUAAGUCCCCAUGGUUGAUACAGAAGACUGUCAUAUGAACCAGUGAGAGUAACUGAAAUCAAAAAAAAGGCUCCAGCAUCUCGGUAAAAACAUGCCACAAGGGACGAGAAGGAGAAGUUUCAACCAGCAGGCCAAGAGACCAGAGACAAGCCGUGUGUGGACAAGCCUCUGCUUUAGGCCCAGAAGGAAAAGAAAUUCAUAGGAGACAAUGAGUCUCAGACUCUUUCUUGGUUAUGAGCAAGAGUUCCCUGGAUCUAAGAGG
Molecule: long non-coding RNA, 896 nt
Organism: Equus quagga
Lineage: Eukaryota; Metazoa; Chordata; Mammalia; Perissodactyla; Equidae
Exons: 6
Source: RefSeq, a predicted model, not a curated record